GACGAACGCUGGCGGCGUGCUUAACACAUGCAAGUCGAGCGGUAAGGCCCUUUCGGGGGUACACGAGCGGCGAACGGGUGAGUAACACGUGGGUGACCUGCCCUUAGCUCUGGGAUAAGCCUGGGAAACUGGGUCUAAUACCGGAUAUGACUCCAUGACGCAUGUUGUGGGGUGGAAAGCCUUGUGCGGCUAGGGGAUGGGCCCGCGGCCUAUCAGCUUGUUGGUGGGGUGAUGGCCACCAAGGCGACGACGGGUAGCCGGCCUGAGAGGGCGACCGGCCACACUGGGACUGAGACACGGCCCAGACUCCUACGGGAGGCAGCAGUGGGGAAUCUUGCGCAAUGGGCGAAAGCCUGACGCAGCGGCGCCGCGUGGGGAUGACGGCCUCGG
This 390-nucleotide ribosomal RNA is filed under the name uncultured bacterium. RNAcentral's name for it is "bacterial SSU rRNA". It matches the Rfam family "Bacterial small subunit ribosomal RNA", at positions 28 to 420 of the family's 1533-position model. The record is from RNAcentral.